GAUCUAUGCAAGUAAAUGAAUGAUAGAUGAUGGGGUGCUUUGAGAUAUGUGCGUGUGGAUAAAUGAUAGGAAGGAAUGCUUUAAGAUUUAUGUAGGUGGAUGGAUGAGAAAGGAUGGUGCGCUUUGAUAUCUAUGUAGGUGGAUGGAUGGAUGAAGGAUAAAGCACUUCAAGAUAUGUGCAAGCAAAUGAAUGAUAGAGGAUAUAGUGCUUUAAGAAUUGUGCAAGUGGAUGGACGAUAGGGAUGAAGCACUUUGUAGUUUGUGCAGA
RNAcentral lists this long non-coding RNA (268 nucleotides) under Phoenix dactylifera (date palm). Its description in RNAcentral is "long non-coding RNA (PDAC_LNC005228)". The record is from RNAcentral. Lineage: Eukaryota; Viridiplantae; Streptophyta; Magnoliopsida; Arecales; Arecaceae.